RNAcentral lists this ribosomal RNA (267 nucleotides) under Phacidiopycnis sp. ZK17/08. Its description in RNAcentral is "partial 28S ribosomal RNA". It matches the Rfam family "Eukaryotic large subunit ribosomal RNA", at positions 1 to 263 of the family's 3401-position model. Lineage: Eukaryota; Fungi; Ascomycota; Leotiomycetes; Phacidiales; Phacidiaceae. The record is from RNAcentral.
UUGACCUCGGAUCAGGUAGGGAUACCCGCUGAACUUAAGCAUAUCAAUAAGCGGAGGAAAAGAAACCAACAGGGAUUGCCUCAGUAACGGCGAGUGAAGCGGCAACAGCUCAAAUUUGAAAUCUGGCUCUUUCAGGGUCCGAGUUGUAAUUUGUAGAGGAUGUUUCGGGUGUGGCUCCGGUCUAAGUUCCUUGGAACAGGACGUCAUAGAGGGUGAGAAUCCCGUAUGUGACUGGUAGCCUACGCCCAUGUGAAACUCCUUCGACGA